This 255-nucleotide ribosomal RNA is filed under the name uncultured bacterium. RNAcentral's name for it is "partial 16S ribosomal RNA". It matches the Rfam family "Bacterial small subunit ribosomal RNA", at positions 524 to 776 of the family's 1533-position model. The record is from RNAcentral.
UACGUAGGACCCAAGCGUUAUCCGGAGUGACUGGGCGUAAAGAGUUGCGUAGGCGGCUUAAUAAGUGGAUAGUGAAACCUGGUGGCUCAACCAUACAGACUAUUAUCCAAACUGUUAAGCUCGAGAAUGGUAGAGGUGGCUGGAAUUUCUAGUGUAGGAGUGAAAUCCGUAGAUAUUAGAAGGAACACCGAUGGCGUAGGCAGGCCACUGGACCAUUUCUGACGCUAAGGCACGAAAGCGUGGGGAGCGAACCGG